AGAGUUUGAUCAUGGCUCAGAACGAACGCUGGCGGCGUGGAUUAGGCAUGCAAGUCGAACGAUCUGCUGUAAUGCGGAGAGUGGCAAAAGGGUGAGUAACACAUAGGUAAUCUACCUUCAGGCUUGGAAUAACUUUGCGAAAGCGGAGCUAAUACUGAAUGUGAUCCUUGACACAAAGUGUUAAGGAUUAAAGUCGGGGACCCCAACAGGGCCUGACACCAGAAGAGGAGCCUGUGUCCUAUCAGCUUGUUGGUGAGGUAAUGGCUCACCAAGGCGAAGACGGGUAGCUGGUCUAAGAGGAUGGUCAGCCACACUGGGACUGAGACACUGCCCAGACUCCUACGGGAGGCUGCAGUCGAGAAUCUUUUGCAAUGCCCGAAAGGGUGACAAUGCGACGCCGCGUGAGCGAUGAAGUCCUUCGGGAUGUAAAGCUCUGUCAGUCCGGAUGAAUAUCUAUUUUUUAACAAAAAAUAGAGAUGACAGUACGGGCAGAGGAAGCCACGGCUAACUCCGUGCCAGCAGCCGCGGUAAUACGGAGGUGGCAAGCGUUGUUCGGAUUUAUUGGGUGUAAAGGGUAUGUAGGUGUCUCAAUAAGUCAUAUGUGAAAUCCCUUGGCUUAACCAAGGAACUGCAUAUGAUACUGUUGAGAUUGAGCAUGGAAGAGGAGAGUGGAAUUCCCGGUGUAAGGGUGAAAUCUGUAGAUAUCGGGAGGAACACCAGUGGCGAAAGCGGCUCUCUGGUCCAAUGCUGACACUGAAAUACGAAAGCUAGGGGAGCAAACAGGAUUAGAUACCCUGGUAGUCCUAGCAGUAAACGAUGGGCACUAGGUGUAGGCCGCAAGGUCUGUGCCGCAGUUAACACAUUAAGUGCCCCACCUGGGGAGUACGGCGGCAACGUUGAAACUCAAAGGAAUUGACGGGGGCCCGCACAAGCGGUGGAGCAUGUGGUUUAAUACGACGCUACGCGUGGAACCUUACCAGGGCUUGACAUGCAUGAAGUAGAAACCUGAAAGGGAGACGACCCGUUAAGUCGGGAACUUGCACAGGUGUUGCAUGGCUGUCGUCAGCUCGUGUCGUGAGAUGUUGGGUUAAGUCCCGCAACGAGCGCAACCAUCGUUAUUAGUUGCUACUUUUGGUUUACCAAAAGGCACUCUAGUAAGACUGCCAGUGUUUAACUGGAGGAAGGUGGUGACGACGUCAAGUCAGUACGGCCCUUACGCCCUGGGCUACACACGUGCUACAAUGGCUGGUACAAUGAGACGCAAUACCGCGAGGUGGAGCAAAUCUCAAAAAACCAGUCUCAGUUCAGAUUGAAGGCUGCAAUUCGCCUUCAUGAAGCUGGAAUCGCUAGUAACCGCAGAUCAGCUAUGCUGCGGUGAAUACGUUCCCGGGUCUUGUACACACCGCCCGUCAAGUCACCUGAAUCGAGUGCACCCGAAGUCACUAUUCUGACCCGCAAGGGGGGAAGGUGCCGAAGGUGUGCUUGGUGAGGAGGACUAAGUCGUAACAAGGUA
Molecule: ribosomal RNA, 1513 nt
Filed under: metagenome
Description: bacterial SSU rRNA
Rfam family: Bacterial small subunit ribosomal RNA
Source: RNAcentral